AACGUACGCUGGCGGCACGCCUAACACAUGCAAGUCGAACGAAGUAGCAAUACUUAGUGGCAGACGGGUGAGUAACAUGUAGGUAUCUGCCCUUUGGCCUGGAAUAACACGAGGAAACUUGUGCUAAUACCGGAUAAGUCUUUACGGAGAAAGCUUUAUGCACCAUUGGAUGAGCCUGCACUUGAUUAGUUUGUUGGUGGGGUAAUGGCCUACCAAGACUGUGAUCAGUAGCUGGUCUGAGAGGAUGAUCAGCCACACUGGGACUGAGACACGGCCCAGACUCCUACGGGAGGCAGCAGUGGGGAAUAUUGGACAAUGGAGGCAACUCUGAUCCAGCAAUGCCGCGUGUGUGAUGAAGGCCCCUAGGGGUUGUAAAGCACUUUCAACGGUGAAGAUGAUG
RNAcentral lists this ribosomal RNA (400 nucleotides) under uncultured Alphaproteobacteria bacterium. RNAcentral describes it as "bacterial SSU rRNA". It matches the Rfam family "Bacterial small subunit ribosomal RNA", at positions 29 to 453 of the family's 1533-position model. The record is from RNAcentral. Lineage: Bacteria; Pseudomonadati; Pseudomonadota; Alphaproteobacteria.